GGGUGAGUAACGCGUAUCCAACCUGCCCAUCACUUGGGAAUAACCUUGCGAAAGUAAGACUAAUGUCCAAUGACAUUUAUAGAAGGCAUCGGAAAUGAAUUAAAGAUUUAUCGGUGAUGGAUGGGGAUGCGUCUGAUUAGCUUGUUGGCGGGGUAAAGGCCCACCAAGGCGACGAUCAGUAGGGGUUCUGAGAGGAAGGUCCCCCACAUUGGAACUGAGACACGGUCCAAACUCCUACGGGAGGCAGCAGUGAGGAAUAUUGGUCAAUGGGCGAGAGCCUGAACCAGCCAAGUAGCGUGCAGGAUGACGGCCCUAUGGGUUGUAAACUGCUUUUAUAGGGGAAUAAAGUGAGCCACGUGUGGUUUUUUGCAUGUACCCUAUGAAUAAGGACCGGCUAAUUCCGCGCCAGCAGCCGCGGUAAUACGGAAGGUCCGGGCGUUAUCCGGAUUUAUUGGGUUUAAAGGGAGCGUAGGCCGGAGAUUAAGCGUGUUGUGAAAUGUAGAUGCUCAACAUCUGCACUGCAGCGCGAACUGGUUUCCUUGAGUACGCAUAAAGUGGGCGGAAUUCGUGGUGUAGCGGUGAAAUGCUUAGAUAUCACGAAGAACUCCGAUUGCGAAGGCAGCUCACUGGGGCGCAACUGACGCUGAAGCCCGAAAGCGCGGGUAUCGAACAGGAUUAGAUACCCUGGUAGUCCGCGCGGUAAACGAUGGAUGCCCGCUGUUGGGCCAAC
This 730-nucleotide ribosomal RNA is filed under the name uncultured bacterium. RNAcentral's name for it is "bacterial SSU rRNA". It matches the Rfam family "Bacterial small subunit ribosomal RNA", at positions 104 to 832 of the family's 1533-position model. The record is from RNAcentral.